RNAcentral lists this ribosomal RNA (353 nucleotides) under Diversispora spurca. RNAcentral's name for it is "SSU rRNA". It matches the Rfam family "Eukaryotic small subunit ribosomal RNA", at positions 569 to 932 of the family's 1831-position model. The record is from RNAcentral. Lineage: Eukaryota; Fungi; Glomeromycota; Glomeromycetes; Diversisporales; Diversisporaceae.
AGCAGCCGCGGUAAUUCCAGCUCCAAUAGCGUAUAUUAAAGUUGUUGCAGUUAAAAAGCUCGUAGUUGAACUUCGGGGUACAUCCAUUGGUCGGGCUUAAUUGUCUGUACUGGUGAGAUGAAUCUCUACCUUCUGAGGAACUUUCAUGCCAUUUAUUUGGUGUGAUGGGAAAUCAGGACUGUUACUUUGAAAAAAUUAGAGUGUUUAAAGCAGGCUCACGUCUGAAUACAUUAGCAUGGAAUAAUGAAAUAGGACGGAUUGAUUCUAUUUCGUUGGUUUCUAGGAUCACCGUAAUGAUUAAUAGGGAUAGUUGGGUACCACCACCUAUUUUGUCGGUUUCUAGGAUCGAUGUA